RNAcentral lists this ribosomal RNA (301 nucleotides) under uncultured bacterium. RNAcentral's name for it is "partial 16S ribosomal RNA". It matches the Rfam family "Bacterial small subunit ribosomal RNA", at positions 509 to 807 of the family's 1533-position model. The record is from RNAcentral.
CAGCCGCCACGGUAAUACGUAGGUGGCAAGCGUUGUCCGGAAUUAUUGGGCGUAAAGGGCUCGCAGGCGGUUUCUUAAGUCUGAUGUGAAAGCCCCCGGCUCAACCGGGGAGGGUCAUUGGAAACUGGGAAACUUGAGUGCAGAAGAGGAGAGUGGAAUUCCACGUGUAGCGGUGAAAUGCGUAGAGAUGUGGAGGAACACCAGUGGCGAAGGCGACUCUCUGGUCUGUAACUGACGCUGAGGAGCGAAAACGUGGGGAGCGAACAGGAUUAGAUACCCCUGUAGUCCCUGUCUCUUAUAC